This 424-nucleotide ribosomal RNA is filed under the name uncultured Bacillota bacterium. RNAcentral's name for it is "bacterial SSU rRNA". It matches the Rfam family "Bacterial small subunit ribosomal RNA", at positions 958 to 1385 of the family's 1533-position model. Lineage: Bacteria; Bacillati; Bacillota. The record is from RNAcentral.
AACGCGAAGAACCUUACCUAGACUUGACAUCCCCUGCAUAACCCAGAGAUGGGCGAAGUCCUUCGGGACAGGGUGACAGGUGGUGCAUGGUUGUCGUCAGCUCGUGUCGUGAGAUGUUGGGUUAAGUCCCGCAACGAGCGCAACCCUUAUCAUUAGUUGCUACCAUUUAGUUGAGCACUCUAGUGAGACUGCCCGGGUUAACCGGGAGGAAGGUGGGGAUGACGUCAAAUCAUCAUGCCCCUUAUGUCUAGGGCUACACACGUGCUACAAUGGUGAGUACAAAGAGAUGCAAGAUCGCAAGGUGGAGCCAAACUCAAAAACUCAUCCCAGUUCGGAUUGUAGGCUGCAACUCGCCUACAUGAAGCCGGAGUUGCUAGUAAUCGCGAAUCAGCAUGUCGCGGUGAAUACGUUCCCGGGCCUUGUA